UAUACAUGCAGUCGAGCGAACGGACGAGAAGCUUGCUUCUCUGAUGUUAGCGGCGGACGGGUGAGUAACACGUGGAUAACCUACCUAUAAGACUGGGAUAACUUCGGGAAACCGGAGCUAAUACCGGAUAAUAUUUUGAACCGCAUGGUUCAAAAGUGAAAGACGGUCUUGCUGUCACUUAUAGAUGGAUCCGCGCUGCAUUAGCUAGUUGGUAAGGUAACGGCUUACCAAGGCAACGAUGCAUAGCCGACCUGAGAGGGUGAUCGGCCACACUGGAACUGAGACACGGUCCAGACUCCUACGGGAGGCAGCAGUAGGGAAUCUUCCGCAAUGGGCGAAAGCCUGACGGAGCAACGCCGCGUGAGUGAUGAAGGUCUUCGGAUCGUAAAACUCUGUUAUUAGGGAAGAACAUAUGUGUAAGUAACUGUGCACAUCUUGACGGUACCUAAUCAGAAAGCCACGGCUAACUACGUGCCACCACCCGCGGUAAA
RNAcentral lists this ribosomal RNA (491 nucleotides) under uncultured bacterium. Its description in RNAcentral is "bacterial SSU rRNA". It matches the Rfam family "Bacterial small subunit ribosomal RNA", at positions 50 to 524 of the family's 1533-position model. The record is from RNAcentral.